RNAcentral lists this unclassified non-coding RNA (275 nucleotides) under plant metagenome. RNAcentral's name for it is "partial contains small subunit ribosomal RNA, internal transcribed spacer 1, and 5.8S ribosomal RNA". The record is from RNAcentral.
UUUCCGUAGGUGAACCUGCGGAAGGAUCAUUAUCGUACAAAAUGUGAGGGGCAUGCGAGGGCUGUCGCUGACCCAUAAGUCGUGCACCCCCGAGUGUGUCCUCUUGCAUAAUAAUCCAUCUCACCCUUUGUGCAUCACCGCGUGGGCACCCUUCGGGAUCAUCUCGGAGGGGGGCUCGCGUUUUCACACAAACUUUGUAUGCAGUGUAGAAUGUAUUUUUUGUUUUUGCGAUCACGCAAUCAAUACAACUUUCAACAACGGAUCUCUUGGCUCUC